GGGCAGCAAUGUCACCGUCGCACGGGUGCGUAACGCGUAUGCAACCUACCUAUCACAGGGGGAUAGCCUUUGGAAACAGGGAUUAAUACCGCAUAAAGCAGGGGCUCCGCAUGGAGAUAUUGCUAAAGAUUUAUCGGUGAUAGAUGGGCAUGCGUCUGAUUAGUUAGAUGGUGGGGUAACGGCCUACCAUGGCGAUGAUCAGUAGGGGGCGUCAGAGCGUGGUCCCCCACACUGGCACUGAGAUACGGGCCAGACUCCUACGGGAGGCAGCAGUAGGGAAUAUUGGGCAAUGGAUGCAAGUCUGACCCAGCCAUGCCGCGUGAAGGAAGAAGGUCCUCUGGAUUGUAAACUUCUUUUGUCGGGGAAGAAGAGUCAUCUUGCGAGGUGAUGUGACGGUACCCGAUGAAUAAGCCACGGCUAACUACGUGCCAGCAGCCGCGGUAAUACGUAGGUGGCAAGCGUUGUCCGGAUUUAUUGGGUUUAAAGGGUGCGUAGGUGGUUUAAUAAGUCAGUGGUGAAAGCUGGUUGCUCAACAAUCAAGUUGCCAUUGAUACUGUUAGACUUGAGAGAAGUGGAGGCUGGUGGAAUGGAUGGUGUAGCGGUGAAAUGCAUAGAUAUCAUCCAGAACGUCAAUUGCGAAGGCAGCUGGCUGUACUUUUUCUGACACUGAGGCACGAAAGUGUGGGGAUCAAACAGGAUUAGAUACCCUGGUAGUCCACACUGUAAACGAUGCGGACUAGCUU
Molecule: ribosomal RNA, 743 nt
Filed under: uncultured Bacteroidota bacterium
Lineage: Bacteria; Pseudomonadati; Bacteroidota
Description: bacterial SSU rRNA
Rfam family: Bacterial small subunit ribosomal RNA
Source: RNAcentral